Molecule: unclassified non-coding RNA, 298 nt
Filed under: plant metagenome
Description: partial contains 5.8S ribosomal RNA, internal transcribed spacer 2, and large subunit ribosomal RNA
Rfam family: 5.8S ribosomal RNA (bases 1-105)
Source: RNAcentral
GAAAUGCGAUAAGUAAUGUGAAUUGCAGAAUUCAGUGAAUCAUCGAAUCUUUGAACGCACAUUGCGCCCCCUGGUAUUCCGGGGGGCAUGCCUGUUCGAGCGUCAUUUCACCACUCAAGCCUCGCUUGGUAUUGGGCAACGCGGUCCGCCGCGUGCCUCAAAUCGACCGGCUGGGUCUUCUGUCCCCUAAGCGUUGUGGAAACUAUUCGCUAAAGGGUGCUCGGGAGGCUACGCCGUAAAACAACCCCAUUUCUAAGGUUGACCUCGGAUCAGGUAGGGAUACCCGCUGUACUUAAGC